UUGACCUCAAAUCAGGUAGGAGUACCCGCUGAACUUAAGCAUAUCAAUAAGCGGAGGAAAAGAAACCAACAGGGAUUGCCUUAGUAACGGCGAGUGAAGCGGC
RNAcentral lists this ribosomal RNA (103 nucleotides) under Millerozyma acaciae. Its description in RNAcentral is "partial 28S ribosomal RNA". It matches the Rfam family "Eukaryotic large subunit ribosomal RNA", at positions 1 to 102 of the family's 3401-position model. The record is from RNAcentral. Lineage: Eukaryota; Fungi; Ascomycota; Pichiomycetes; Serinales; Debaryomycetaceae.